Molecule: non-coding RNA, 1348 nt
Organism: Pimephales promelas (fathead minnow)
Lineage: Eukaryota; Metazoa; Chordata; Actinopteri; Cypriniformes; Leuciscidae
Source: RefSeq, a predicted model, not a curated record
GCCUAAUGGUUAGAGAGUAACCCGAAGGUGGUGGGUUCGAGUCUCAGCACUGGCAGGAGAUGUAUGUGGGGGGAUUGAAUGAACAGCGCUCUCUUCCACUCACUCUCAUUACCCACAACUGAGGUGCCCUUGAGCAAGGCACCUAACCCACAAUCGCUCCCCGGGCGCUGCAGCAAAAACUGGCUUCCCACUGCUCCAGACCCAGAAGCCCACCCAGAGCCCAAGAAGGUUCUGCACUUCACAGUUUAACAGCUCUUCCAUCACUCAGAGCCGUCAUUACGCCCAGAGUUUAUAAAACUGAGGCGUUGUGUGCUCCAGUUUGUUUUAUUGAUCAUUGUGCGGAGGCGUUGAUUAAGUGAAGUGAGAGUGUGUUUCUAAGGCUGCGGGAGGCAUCUGUCACCUCAUAACUUCACUCAUUUAGUCAAAACAGGCUACCGUCUUCAGACACGCUCUCCUCGACUCCUGCGCGUACCGCAAUCCUCGGGAUCCGGCCCGUGCGCACACCUUCAGUGUUUUACAUCCUUUUAUUUCCCAAGAUUAGAUGGGAUGAAGAACUGAAAAGACCUUUAUGAAGUUCAUCUACAGGGCAUUCUGUCCUCUCAUCCACUUCUUGAUUAUUCUCUCUCCCUCCCUCUCAUUCUCGGGUUACUGACAUUAGGGCUGCGCAUUCCACGCUUGUCUUAAUAAAGUCAAAUCGCAAUAAACCUGAACCAAUUACACGCGCAGCCAGAUGGGCCGACAUCGGCGCGGAGGGGAUCCACCUGGAGGGUGAUGGCAUCCGGUUCUAUGGGGUCACAAUGGAAAGCAUCACCAAAAACCGGGACUUCUACACAUGCUAGCUGUGAAUAGCUACAAGCUAAUAGCGAUUAGCUUUGAAAGUGAAGCGUGAAGAAAAUGUUUGUGUGCCUUUCAGCGAAAAUUGCUCACCCUAAACCUCCACUAGGAAAAAGUCCCAAAUGCCAAAUAAACAAUCAGCACGCUAAACCAAAGUCUGCAAUGGAGGAAACCGAACAUUAAAGGGAUAGUAAUCAUAUUAGAUCACUUAUCUGCCCACCCAGGCUCUCCUGAGACCGGCGAAAGCGUGUGGCACGUCUGCCAACAGGCCCGUAAGGCUCAAUGUGUCCACUUUCAGCCGGUUGUGUGAUUCAGUGUGAUGUAAAGAGACUGACAUCCAAGACAAACAUUUCCCUUCUGAACCAUGUGUUGUUGUAGUUUAGUAUAACAUGAGUUUCACUUGAUCUCGACCAAUGCAAGAUAUUAAUAAGUAAAAGGCUCAUUUAUUAGCUGGCUGACAGAUUUUAUAGACAAAAUACAUUUUCUUAAAGGGAUAGCUCAGCCAAAAAUUAAA